AGUAGACGACUGGGUUGAUAGGCCGGAUCUGGAAGCACGGUAACGUGUGGAGGUGACCGGUACUAAUAGGCCGAGGGCUUGUCCAU
Molecule: ribosomal RNA, 86 nt
Filed under: Streptomyces sp. ISL-24
Lineage: Bacteria; Bacillati; Actinomycetota; Actinomycetes; Kitasatosporales; Streptomycetaceae
Description: partial 23S ribosomal RNA
Rfam family: Bacterial large subunit ribosomal RNA
Source: RNAcentral